Molecule: long non-coding RNA, 201 nt
Organism: Alosa sapidissima (American shad)
Lineage: Eukaryota; Metazoa; Chordata; Actinopteri; Clupeiformes; Clupeidae
Exons: 3
Source: RefSeq, a predicted model, not a curated record
AUUUUCUAAAAAAAAUAAGGGAUAGGUAGAAAAGCAGUCCCUCCAAGAUUUCACGAGGUUUUUUGAGACUGUUUCGACCUAAAAUGCCUGGAUGGAAGUUGCAGUGUUUUUAGCUGUUUCUUGUGGAGAAAUUGCUGGAGGAAGUGAAAAUUGCAAAAAUAGUUGUAAUUUUUUUUUUUUUUAAUUUAGGGCAAUUAAGGU